Molecule: ribosomal RNA, 253 nt
Filed under: uncultured bacterium
Lineage: Bacteria
Description: partial 16S ribosomal RNA
Rfam family: Bacterial small subunit ribosomal RNA
Source: RNAcentral
UACGUAGGUGGCAAGCGUUGUCCGGAUUUACUGGGCGUAAAGGGCGUGCAGGCGGUCUGUUAAGUGCAGGGUGAAAGCUCCCGGCUCAACUGGGAGAGGUCCUUGCAUACUGGCGGACUUGAGGGGGGUAGAGGAAAGUGGAAUUCCCGGUGUAGUGGUGAUAUGCGUAGAUAUCAGGAAGAACACCCGUGGCGAAGGCGGCUCUCUGGAACGCAACUGACGCUGAGACGCGAAAGCGUGGGGAGCAAACAGG